GUUAAAUAGAUUUUUUCAAAAUAGUGAUAUCUGAUUUAAAAAAAAUGUAGUUGUAUGUAAUAAAGAAUCAUAAUAAAGAUUAGAGUCUGCCGCCAUAAAGUAGGGGGAGCUAUAAAUAGCACCCUGGGGUCACACUCAGAGAACCAUAAAUAUACAGACCUAGAACUUGAUCACUUAGCUUUCUCCUGAGUCGAGUGUUAUCAUUGUGCUUAUUUCAAGUAUAGUUAGUGUUCACUAUGGGGCUUCGGUAAAACUAUCCUAGGCCACCAUCAAUAUUCUCAAAGCAAUAACGCUCUAGACAAAAUCGGUGGUUGGGGGAGACGCCAAUCCAAACAUCGUUGUAGCAAUGCAAAUCCAGUUACAGAAGCUGCAACAAUAAAACGAAGCCCUACAAGCUUCAAUCAACAUGAUCCAACAACAACAGGACGAGCUCCACCAUAACAAUGAGGAGACGGAGGAAUUGGAUCCCCAACCCUUUUGGCGGAGAUCUGGAAUGUGCCAGUUCUCAAAAUUUUCAAACCACCCUCACAGUCCACUUUCAAUGGAAGGAAUGACCCAGUCG
This 562-nucleotide long non-coding RNA is filed under the name Medicago truncatula (barrel medic). RNAcentral describes it as "lncRNA gene31988". The record is from RNAcentral. Lineage: Eukaryota; Viridiplantae; Streptophyta; Magnoliopsida; Fabales; Fabaceae.